GGAGAGAUGGCUCAGCGGUUAAGAGCACUGAUUGCUCUUCUGAACCAAGGUCCUGGGUUCAAAUCCCAGCAACCACA
This 77-nucleotide transfer RNA is filed under the name Mus musculus (house mouse). Its description in RNAcentral is "tRNA-Arg". Lineage: Eukaryota; Metazoa; Chordata; Mammalia; Rodentia; Muridae. The record is from RNAcentral.